CAGCAGUCAGUCCCAGCCAGCACCCAGCAUGGACAUGAGGACCCUUGCUCAGCUCCUGGGGCUCCUGCUGCUCUGGCUUCCAGGAGCCAGAUGUGACAUCCAGAUGACCCAGUCUCCAGCCUCCCUGUCUGCAUCUCCAGGAGACACAGUCUCCAUCACUUGCCAGGCCAGUCAGGGCAUUAACAACUGGUUAGCUUGGUAUCAGCAGAAACCAGGGAAAGCUCCCAAGCUCCUGAUCUAUGGUGCAAAGUAUUUACAAUCUGGGAUCCCCUCUAGAUUUAGUGGCAGUGGAUCUGGGACAGAGUGCACUCUCACCAUCAGCAGCCUGCAGCCUGAAGAUGUUGCCACUUAUUACUGUCAAGAGUAUUGGAGUACUACUCCCACAGGGGAUUCUCCAGGCCUCACCUCAGUUCAGAUGUCAGCCUGCUUGUGUCAAGAAAGACUAAAUCUCUUCUGUUUUCCAUCUAUUAAGAAGUCUCCUGAUGAUACAAAUGUGCAGGAAACCAGAGAUAGAAAAAGAGUUCAGAAAUGGCUUCCACAGCAACCAUAA
Molecule: non-coding RNA, 550 nt
Organism: Perognathus longimembris pacificus (Pacific pocket mouse)
Lineage: Eukaryota; Metazoa; Chordata; Mammalia; Rodentia; Heteromyidae
Source: the annotation of a RefSeq genome assembly